Oncorhynchus keta (chum salmon) is the source of this 804-nucleotide long non-coding RNA. RefSeq lists it as uncharacterized. The transcript is spliced from 4 exons. Lineage: Eukaryota; Metazoa; Chordata; Actinopteri; Salmoniformes; Salmonidae. The record is from RefSeq and is a predicted model, not a curated record.
AUGUUUUGGGGACAUAGCAGGGUCCUGUGCAGUGUUUGGUCAGAGGUUCAGACCCAGCAAGAGGAGGAGAAGAAGAGAGAGGGAGCGGUAGGUCUUGUUCAGUGUUUGGUCAGAGGUUCAGACCCAGCAAGAGGAGGAGAAGAAGAGAGAGGGAGCGGUAGGUCUUGUUCAGUGUUUGGUCAGAGGUUCAGACCCAGCAAGAGGAGGAGAAGAAGAGAGAGGGAGCGGUAGGUCUUGUUCAGUGUUUGGUCAGAGGUUCAGACCCAGCAAGAGGAGGAGAAGAAGAGAGAGGGAGCGGUAGGUCUUGUUCAGUGUUUGGUCAGAGGUUCAGACCCAGCAAGAGGAGGAGAAGAAGAGAGAGGGAGCGGUAGGUCUUGUUCAGUGUUUGGUCAGAGGUUCAGACCCAGCAAGAGGAGGAGAAGAAGAGAGAGGGAGCGGUAGGUCUUGUUCAGUGUUUGGUCAGAGGUUCAGACCCAGCAAGAGGAGGAGAAGAAGAGAGAGGGAGCGGUAGGUCUUGUUCAGUGUUUGGUCAGAGGUUCAGACCCAGCAAGAGGAGGAGAAGAAGAGAGAGGGAGCGGUAGGUCUUGUUCAGUGUUUGGUCAGAGGUUCAGACCCAGCAAGAGGAGGAGAAGAAGAGAGAGGGAGCGGUAGGUCUUGUUCAGUGUUUGGUCAGAGGUUCAGACCCAGCAAGAGGAGGAGAAGAAGAGAGAGGGAGCGGUAGGUCUUGUUCAGUGUUUGGUCAGAGGUUCAGACCCAGCAAGAGGAGGAGAAGAAGAGAGAGGGAGCGGUAGGUCUUGUUCAGUG